GGUUAAGCGACUAAGCGUACACGGUGGAUGCCCUGGCAGUCAGAGGCGAUGAAGGACGUGCUAAUCUGCGAUAAGCGUCGGUAAGGUGAUAUGAACCGUUAUAACCGGCGAUUUCCGAAUGGGGAAACCCAGUGUGUUUCGACACACUAUCAUUAACUGAAUCCAUAGGUUAAUGAGGCGAACCGGGGGAACUGAAACAUCUAAGUACCCCGAGGAAAAGAAAUCAACCGAGAUUCCCCCAGUAGCGGCGAGCGAACGGGGAGCAGCCCAGAGCCUGAAUCAGUGUGUGUGUUAGUGGAAGCGUCUGGAAAGGCGUGCGAUACAGGGUGACAGCCCCGUACACAAAAAUGCACAUGCUGUGAGCUCGAUGAGUAGGGCGGGACACGUGGUAUCCUGUCUGAAUAUGGGGGGACCAUCCUCCAAGGCUAAAUACUCCUGACUGACCGAUAGUGAACCAGUACCGUGAGGGAAAGGCGAAAAGAACCCCGGCGAGGGGAGUGAAAAAGAACCUGAAACCGUGUACGUACAAGCAGUGGGAGCACGCUUAGGCGUGUGACUGCGUACCUUUUGUAUAAUGGGUCAGCGACUUAUAUUCUGUAGCAAGGUUAACCGAAUAGGGGAGCCGAAGGGAAACCGAGUCUUAACUGGGCGUUAAGUUGCAGGGUAUAGACCCGAAACCCGGUGAUCUAGCCAUGGGCAGGUUGAAGGUUGGGUAACACUAACUGGAGGACCGAACCGACUAAUGUUGAAAAAUUAGCGGAUGACUUGUGGCUGGGGGUGAAAGGCCAAUCAAACCGGGAGAUAGCUGGUUCUCCCCGAAAGCUAUUUAGGUAGCGCCUCGUGAAUUCAUCUCCGGGGGUAGAGCACUGUUUCGGCAAGGGGGUCAUCCCGACUUACCAACCCGAUGCAAACUGCGAAUACCGGAGAAUGUUAUCACGGGAGACACACGGCGGGUGCUAACGUCCGUCGUGAAGAGGGAAACAACCCAGACCGCCAGCUAAGGUCCCAAAGUCAUGGUUAAGUGGGAAACGAUGUGGGAAGGCCCAGACAGCCAGGAUGUUGGCUUAGAAGCAGCCAUCAUUUAAAGAAAGCGUAAUAGCUCACUGGUCGAGUCGGCCUGCGCGGAAGAUGUAACGGGGCUAAACCAUGCACCGAAGCUGCGGCAGCGACGCUGAUGCGUUGUUGGGUAGGGGAGCGUUCUGUAAGCCUGCGAAGGUGUGCUGUGAGGCAUGCUGGAGGUAUCAGAAGUGCGAAUGCUGACAUAAG
This 1266-nucleotide ribosomal RNA is filed under the name Escherichia coli. RNAcentral's name for it is "partial 23S ribosomal RNA". It matches the Rfam family "Bacterial large subunit ribosomal RNA", at positions 1 to 1306 of the family's 2925-position model. The record is from RNAcentral. Lineage: Bacteria; Pseudomonadati; Pseudomonadota; Gammaproteobacteria; Enterobacterales; Enterobacteriaceae.